RNAcentral lists this unclassified non-coding RNA (232 nucleotides) under fungal sp. RNAcentral describes it as "partial internal transcribed spacer region". The stretch from base 1 to 46 matches the Rfam family "Eukaryotic small subunit ribosomal RNA", at positions 1786 to 1831 of the family's 1831-position model. The record is from RNAcentral. RNAcentral also lists the same sequence under 1 other name. Lineage: Eukaryota; Fungi.
AAGUCGUAACAAGGUCUCCGUUGGUGAACCAGCGGAGGGAUCAUUAAAGAGUUGCAAAACUCCCAACCAUUGCUAAACAACCACUGUUUCUUCGGCGGGUGGCCGCAUGGCCGCGCGCACCCCUCUCGGGGGGACGCACCCCGCCGGAGCACACCAAACUCUUGUCAUUAUUGAUGCUCUGAGUAAAAAAACAAAAUUAUUACAACUUUCAACAAUGGAUCUCUUGGCUCUG